RNAcentral lists this unclassified non-coding RNA (259 nucleotides) under uncultured fungus. RNAcentral's name for it is "sequence contains ITS2". The record is from RNAcentral. Lineage: Eukaryota; Fungi.
AACGCACAUUGCGCCCGCCAGCAUUCUGGCGGGCAUGCCUGUUCGAGCGUCAUUUCAACCCUCGAGCUCCCCUUGGGGAGCCCGGCGUUGGGGACCGGCACUCACACUGCCGGCCCCGAAAUGGAGUGGCGGCCCCGUCCGCGGCGACCUCUGCGUAGUAACUCAACCUCGCAUCGGGACCCGGGCGCGGCCACGCCGUAAAACCCCCCACUUUCUGAACGUUGACCUCGAAUCAGGUAGGAAUACCCGCUGAACUUAA